This 446-nucleotide ribosomal RNA is filed under the name uncultured bacterium. RNAcentral's name for it is "partial 16S ribosomal RNA". It matches the Rfam family "Bacterial small subunit ribosomal RNA", at positions 329 to 792 of the family's 1533-position model. The record is from RNAcentral.
UCCCAGACUCCUACGGGAGGCAGCAGUGGGGAAUAUUGCACAAUGGGGGAAACCCUGAUGCAGCGACGCCGCGUGAGCGAUGAAGUAUUUCGGUAUGUAAAGCCCUGUCAGCAGGGAAGAAAAUGACGGUACCUGAAGAAGAAGCCCCGGCUAACUACGUGCCAGCAGCCGCGGUAAUACGUAGGGGGCAAGCGUUAUCCGGAUUUACUGGGUGUAAAGGGGGCGCAGACGGCGAUGCAAGCCAGGAGUGAAAGCCCGGGGCCCAACCCCGGGACUGCUCUUGGAACUGCGUGGCUGGAGUGCAGGAGGGGCAGGCGGAAUUCCUGGUGUAGCGGUGAAAUGCGUAGAUAUCAGGAGGAACACCGGUGGCGAAGGCGGCCUUCUGGACUGCAACUGACGUUGAGGCCCGAAAGCGUGGGGAGCAAACAGGAUUAGAUACCCCAGUA